Molecule: small RNA, 27 nt
Filed under: Bombyx mori (domestic silkworm)
Lineage: Eukaryota; Metazoa; Arthropoda; Insecta; Lepidoptera; Bombycidae
Description: ovarian small RNA-22405
Source: RNAcentral
UAGCGAAGCGAAAACGCAUUGGAUGGU